AUUUAGCCCCGAUUGAAGUGGAAAUCCUUUUUAUUUUUUUUAAAAUAAAAAGAUUGUAGCGGAAAGCGGGACGAAAC
RNAcentral lists this small RNA (77 nucleotides) under Halpernia humi. RNAcentral describes it as "Chryseobacterium humi Flavo-1 RNA". It matches the Rfam family "Flavo-1 RNA". Lineage: Bacteria; Pseudomonadati; Bacteroidota; Flavobacteriia; Flavobacteriales; Weeksellaceae. The record is from RNAcentral.